Molecule: unclassified non-coding RNA, 442 nt
Filed under: Zea mays
Lineage: Eukaryota; Viridiplantae; Streptophyta; Magnoliopsida; Poales; Poaceae
Description: misc RNA Zm00001eb391990
Source: RNAcentral
CAAAAGGGCCGAAACGAAGGGCCCUUUCCUUUCUCCCAGAACAAGAAGCAGACCCAGGGAGAAGUGACCAAGUGUCUCAAGCAACCUCCCGUCCUCCCCGCCGCCGCUUCCUCGUUUCUCUCCUCCAAUCCACACCCACCCACCACUCUCCUCUUCUCUUCUCUCGAAAAAAGAACCAGCUAGCGAGCAAUCCAUAUCCCCGCCAUGUCCGCGUCGCCGGAGUUCUACAAGCCAGCGCCGCCGGCGUUCUCGCCGCCGACGCUCCUCCUGCACGGGGCAGGGGCGGACGACAGCGCCGCCGCCGCGACCAUGUGGCAGGAGGAUCAGGACUACCGCUGCCGGACGCCGACGGGCGGCGAGAGCCAGGUGAAGCCGCCGGGGACGUGCCCGCCGGCGCCGCGGAAGCCGCGGGCGCCCGCGGCGUGCCGGAAGCGCCUGUUCG